RNAcentral lists this ribosomal RNA (460 nucleotides) under uncultured bacterium. RNAcentral's name for it is "partial 16S ribosomal RNA". It matches the Rfam family "Bacterial small subunit ribosomal RNA", at positions 338 to 795 of the family's 1533-position model. The record is from RNAcentral.
CCUACGGGAGGCAGCAGUGAGGAAUAUUGGUCAAUGGGCGGGAGCCUGAACCAGCCAAGUCGCGUGAGGGAAGACGGUCCUAUGGAUUGUAAACCUCUUUAGGCGGGGAGCAAUGCCGGGCACGCGUGCCCGGAGGGAGAGUACCCGCAGAAUAAGCAUCGGCUAACUCCGUGCCAGCAGCCGCGGUAAUACGGAGGAUGCGAGCGUUAUCCGGAUUUAUUGGGUUUAAAGGGUGCGUAGGCGGAUUUUUAAGUCAGCUGUAAAAUCGCGCGGCUCAACCGCGCCCCGCAGUUGAAACUGGACGCCUUGAGUUCACAACAGGCAGGCGGAAUUCGUGGUGUAGCGGUGAAAUGCAUAGAUAUCACGAGGAACCCCGAUUGCGAAGGCAGCCUGCCGGGGUGCGACUGACGCUGAGGCUCGAAGGUGCGGGUAUCAAACAGGAUUAGAUACCCGAGUAGUC